AUGGCCAUAUCACAUUGAAACACUGGUCCUCGUAUGAUCACCAAAGUUAAGCAACAUUGAGCUUUGUUAGUAAUUAGAUGGGUGACUGCUUGAGAAUACUAGAAGCUGUAAG
Non-coding RNA from Acanthosepion pharaonis, 112 nucleotides. The record is from the annotation of a GenBank genome assembly. NCBI's taxonomy places the organism in Eukaryota, Metazoa, Mollusca, Cephalopoda, Sepiida, Sepiidae.